GCCCCCCCAGGAUUCCACCUGAAGAGUUUCCAGUACUCUACCAGUCACAACUACAGGAGAGAAAGUCAAGCAGAGGCCUACCCAUUCCAUUCCUAGCUUGGGCAGUAGCUAGCGAGUGGAAGGCAAUCUGCUACAAGC
Ornithorhynchus anatinus (platypus) is the source of this 138-nucleotide non-coding RNA. The record is from Rfam. NCBI's taxonomy places the organism in Eukaryota, Metazoa, Chordata, Mammalia, Monotremata, Ornithorhynchidae.